This 285-nucleotide ribosomal RNA is filed under the name uncultured bacterium. Its description in RNAcentral is "partial 16S ribosomal RNA". It matches the Rfam family "Bacterial small subunit ribosomal RNA", at positions 123 to 406 of the family's 1533-position model. The record is from RNAcentral.
UAUCUAUCCUUGGGUGGGGGAUAACCGUGGGAAACUACGGCUAAUACCGCAUGAUGACUGAGGUCCAAAGGUGUCUUUUCGCGAGAGGAGAUUUUGCCUGGGGAGGAGCCUGCGUACGAUUAGCUUGUUGGUGGGGUAAAGGCCUACCAAGGCGACGAUCGUUAGCUGGUCUGAGAGGAUGAUCAGCCACACUGGAACUGAGACACGGUCCAGACUCCUACGGGAGGCAGCAGUGGGGAAUAUUGGACAAUGGGCGAAAGCCUGAUCCAGCAAUGCCGCGUGGGU